GCCAGGCCCUACGGGGCGCAGCAGGCGCGAAACCUCCGCAAUGCACGCAAGUGCGACGGGGGAACCCCAAGUGCCACUCUUAACGGGGUGGCUUUUCAGAAGUGUAAAAAGCUUCUGGAAUAAGGGCUGGGCAAGACCGGUGCCAGCCGCCGCGGUAACACCGGCAGCUCAAGUGGUAGCCGCUUUUAUUGGGCCUAAAGCGUCCGUAGCCGGUCUGAUAAGUCUCUGGUGAAAUCCCGCAGCUUAACUGUGGGAAUUGCUGGAGAUACUAUCAUGACUCGAGGUCGGGAGAGGCUGGAGGUACUCCCAGGGUAGGGGUGAAAUCCUGUAAUCCUGGGAGGACCACCUGUGGCGAAGGCGUCCAGCUGGAACGAACCUGACGGUGAGGGACGAAAGCCAGGGGCGCGAACCGGAUUAGAUACCCGGGUAGUCCUGGCCGUAAACGAUGUGGACUUGGUGUUGGGAUGGCUUCGAGCUGCCCCAGUGCCGAAGGGAAGCUGUUAAGUCCACCGCCUGGGAAGUACGGCCGCAAGGCUGAAACUUAAAGGAAUUGGCGGGGGANCNCCACAACNNGCGGAGCCUGCGGUUUAAUUGGAUUCAACGCCNG
This 607-nucleotide ribosomal RNA is filed under the name uncultured Methanobacteriales archaeon. Its description in RNAcentral is "bacterial SSU rRNA". It matches the Rfam family "Archaeal small subunit ribosomal RNA", at positions 315 to 921 of the family's 1478-position model. Lineage: Archaea; Methanobacteriati; Methanobacteriota; Methanobacteria; Methanobacteriales. The record is from RNAcentral.